AUUUUACUUGCAGCAGUAGUAGUUUCAAAUGAUGGACAAGUUGUGCACUUCAAAAAUACUUCAUCUGUAGAGAAACUGGAAUACUGUUCAAAGAUCUAUUGCAGUACCUUUAUGUCACUGUAACCAACUGGAAUUGUCUUUGCUGAAGCAGGAGGGUGAUUAAUCUAGUAACAAGAUAAAAGUAUAAUUUAUAGGCUUAACAGGGCUGACUAGUAGGUCGUUGUUCAAUCCAUCCUACAACUUAGACCUAUUGACACACCCAAGUCUGUUAACACGCUAAACCCUCAAAACUCUAUCAAACCCUCUCGACCUACUUUACCUUUUACUUUCAUAUCUUGGUUUGCGAGAAGAAAAAAUAUUAAUAAAAAUAAUGCAUUAGUAACAUAUAUGUGUAUACUCUUGUUUGUGAUCUCCACAUGCCUCUAAGCAGAGAAAUUUUGUGUAAGUCACACCAAGGUUGGUAAUGCCAUAUGGAUCAAAAUCUUAUAACUCCUUUUCAAAAUAUUGAAAAGUGUUCGGAAUCUACAGAUACAUAACUUUGCAUCAAUAUGAGAAUGAUGAGGCGGUUGUAUGACUAGAUUAGGAGACAAGCGAGAUAUAUGCAGAUCGAGUAUAGGAGUUAUACCCAUCAAGUAUAAAAUGAUGAACCAGAUUUAUAUGAGAUGGGCAUGUACAA
Molecule: long non-coding RNA, 676 nt
Filed under: Phoenix dactylifera (date palm)
Lineage: Eukaryota; Viridiplantae; Streptophyta; Magnoliopsida; Arecales; Arecaceae
Description: long non-coding RNA (PDAC_LNC019558)
Source: RNAcentral